RNAcentral lists this ribosomal RNA (494 nucleotides) under uncultured bacterium. RNAcentral describes it as "partial 16S ribosomal RNA". It matches the Rfam family "Bacterial small subunit ribosomal RNA", at positions 29 to 507 of the family's 1533-position model. The record is from RNAcentral.
ACGAACGCUGGCGGCGUGCCUAAUACAUGCAAGUAGAACGCUGAAGGAGGAGCUUGCUCUUCUGGAUGAGUUGCGAACGGGUGAGUAACGCGUAGGUAACCUGCCUGUUAGCGGGGGAUAACUAUUGGAAACGAUAGCUAAUACCGCAUAACAGUAGAUGUUGCAUGACAUUUGCUUAAAAGGUGCAAUUGCACCACUACCAGAUGGACCUGCGUUGUAUUAGCUAGUUGGUGGGGUAACGGCUCACCAAGGCGACGAUACAUAGCCGACCUGAGAGGGUGAUCGGCCACACUGGGACUGAGACACGGCCCAGACUCCUACGGGAGGCAGCAGUAGGGAAUCUUCGGCAAUAGACGGAAGGCUGACCGAGCAACGCCGCGUGAGUGAAGAAGGUUGUCGGAUCGUAAAGCUAUGUUGUAAGAGAAGAACGAGUGUGAGAGUGGAAAGUUCACACUGUGACGGUAUCUUACCAGAAAGGGACGGCUAACUACGUG